Long non-coding RNA from Epinephelus fuscoguttatus (brown-marbled grouper), 1513 nucleotides. RefSeq lists it as uncharacterized. NCBI's taxonomy places the organism in Eukaryota, Metazoa, Chordata, Actinopteri, Perciformes, Serranidae. The record is from RefSeq and is a predicted model, not a curated record. The transcript is spliced from 4 exons.
GUUUUGGAGGGACGGGGCAAAGUUCUCAACCGUACGCUCAGUUGUUAUAAAGAAUGGUAACAAGCGCCGAAGAAAUCAGAGAUGACCACGCAUUGGUGAUCAUUUACAGAGAGACUGAAUGGGAGGGCCUGCUUGAUCACUGGAAGAAAAGACAGCUGAAAUUGUCAAAUCCCUAAAACAAAAUCCCCUAUGUACAUCUCCUUGGAGUUCCUUUUGUGUGCUGGGACUGUAACCCAGACGUUGAUGAAACGGGGGACUGCUGUCUGGUGAGGUCUGAUUGGAUUUUAAUUUCUGGAAAGUGUUUGUGGCAGCAGCGGGGCCAGACUGAUAAAGCGAACAAAACAGAAUGUUGAAUUCACGUCAUCAAGAUGGUCUUACAAGCCUACAAAUGUGUGUUUCCAGUGAGGAGAGAAAUUCCUCUAAGAUCUCUAAAUGUGGGCUCUGGGUUUGUUGAUAAAAGUCAAAAACAGCCUCUCAGCUUCUGAAGUUCUUUACAGUGCUUUUUCUACGUGUUUCAACCAGUGGCAGGCCAGUUCUGUUUCCUCAGCCAGUGAAAGAAGACCUCCAUUAAAAACAGCAGGACGGAAGGAGUGGACUUUUACCCCCAUGUUCAUAGAAUGACACACACAGCUGGCACCAGCUUUUAUUUAUGAUCGAGUUUUAUCAGUACGAGAGGGCUAAAUAUGACUCUUAAUAUCUCAAUAUUAAUUUAAUCAGUUGGCAAACCACUCUUAUCAGUAAUGACUCUGUUGUAAUAAUGAAUCUCUUGGACAUACAGUAGCCAAUAAAUUUUGAAAAGCUUAAUUGUGCAUUACAUCAUUAUAGUUUCCUUUUUCCAAGAUGGUUUCUUGACAUCUAAAUAUUUUCAAGAUUUCUGGCAUAAAUGGCAGCAUAAUUAUGUCAGAGCCAGCAUUCACUGGUGGAAGAAAACUAAGGACUAGAAGGAAACAUAUAAGGCACUGAGAAAUGAAGGUUAUGAUAUUGUAACCCUAGUUCUAUUAAAACAGGCGGCGCAUUCUUCUGGACUCUUUGGGUAUACAUACUGUGGGGUCCGCAUGUAUUCAGGUAGGCAAGUCUUGACUGACCGGCUACGUUUAUGCUUUUCCCAGUGUGCAUGCACGUGAUCAUUAAUAGAUAAGCAUCACCCAAAGAGUCUAGUAGGGGGCGGAGCCUGUGUGAGAUCGUGAGGGCAUUAACUGUAAAACUGAUAUUGAAAUAAUAUUUUCCAACAAAACUAAAGCAAUGCAUUAAAACUAUUUCCCUUCCCUGUUUAAGCCUUGUUAUUGUAAGAAACACCACUUUACAAAACACACUGAUUGAUUAGUCUUUACAAUGUGCAGGAAACUACUCUGUCCACGUUAACAUGUGACACAAAUGGAAGAUUGUUUAAUUUUUUGAACGGAAGUUUAGUUUAAUUGUUGUUAAAAUAAUCAAACCACCGACUUCAUAUUGUUUAUCAUUUCAGCAUGUGGAAAGAUCCUACAUGUCUGCCAAAUCAUCAGCAUCAAACAUA